GAAAAGGCGUCCGGGUGGAUGUCGGAGAGCCCCGGGUUGUCCGUCAUCCUCAGCAUCACCAGGCUGGCCAGGGGCCCGAACGUCCGGUCCUCGAUCCGGCGCAAGGUGUUGAAGGAGAGGUCCAGGUGUUGAAGUGCUGAAUCAGACCCAGCAGGAUGGAGGAGGAGCAGCAGCAGCAGGAGGAGGAAGACAGAUGUUGCUGCUGAUGAGUCGUAUUAAACAAAAUACCCCAUAAUGGCAACCAACAGUCCCUUUCUCCCCCCAUUCUGCUCCCCCCCCCCCCACACACACACACACACACACUGACCACACUCUCUCUCCAUAUUUGUCUUCCACCCUCAGAGAUCCACUAAAAGAAAAUCUGUUGGGUUUUCUGUCUAUUCACCGCCUCUGUCAGGUUGCUCUCCAUGUGGACUGAAGUAAUCCUCACAGCUGUUUAAGCCCUUAUAAACUGGCUCUCGGAGGACAUCUAGUGUCUGCACCAAGGAACUGCGUUUUAGGAUCGAUACUUGACGGAUGUUUUCACGCUCAGCUUUGCUGCUGUUUUGAAGUGGAAGAAAAAGCGGAACCAGCGGACGUUUCACGUGCUCUUAAACGUUUACCCAUAAAAAAAAAAAGAUCAAGAAUAAUCAAAAUAUUGUCUAAAAAUAGGUUAAAAAGUUAAUUGUACUUACUUCAAGCGGCAGCGUUUGAGGUCAAAUGGCGGGUUUUCUUGAGGCCUCCACUAGAAUCCAUUAUGCACCGACUGAUGGCCAAGCAGUGCGCAACGUUGGACUUUAUGGAAAGGUGACAAAAAUACAGGCGCUGCUGAAAUGCAGACAUAAAAAGUUUUGUUUGCUUCACAGUAGAGACCUUAAAGAAGACAUCUGCUCGGAAGGAACAAGGCUUUUAACUUUUUAGCCAGCUGUGUGUAGCAGGAUGAAGCCUGCCCUGCAGGAUCGACGACACCUGGCACCCAAUUAACUCCUCACAAGGUGUUGAGGAUAAAAUGAGACUCCUUCACCUGUUUUCUUCCUGCCUGGACAUGAAGAAAACAAUCCACCGACCUUCAGCUUGGUUGGGUUCCGGUGGUCACAUCUCUGACGUCAGUAAGCAAAUGAAGCCUCAUGAAGCCAUGAAGCUUUCCGAGCCUUUGCUUGGCAAAAAAGGUUCAUUACUCAACGCUUCAUUCAUCGCUUGCUGGUGAAACUGUAACCGCCUUGUCUCUCAGCUGGAUCACACUCCCAAGAAUUAGUAAAUGCAAUGUUGUCGCAAAGUUUUCAUCAAACUCAAGUUCAGUAACAGGAGAAUCGAUCAUUUAAUUGCCAUAUAUUUGAAUUGUUAAAAUGAUUUGUAGCCAAUCUAAUCCUGGUGUAUGUUGAACGUGAGUGGUUGUGUUGGGUUUUCUUUUACUGAUUUGACAAUAAAGACAUUUGAUGCUUCAA
Gambusia affinis (western mosquitofish) is the source of this 1424-nucleotide long non-coding RNA. RefSeq lists it as uncharacterized. The record is from RefSeq and is a predicted model, not a curated record. NCBI's taxonomy places the organism in Eukaryota, Metazoa, Chordata, Actinopteri, Cyprinodontiformes, Poeciliidae. The transcript is spliced from 2 exons.